AUGGCUGAUGAAGAGUCCUAAUACUAGUGGACUUUGAGUCCUACGUAUCUGAAACUCUAUGAUCGAGAAUCAGGAUUCUCUAAUCAUGAGUUCCACAUAUUUUGGGUACCGGGGUCAAGAGUCCUACUGGUUUGGGACUUUUUGAUCAGGGUUUCAUAUCGAUGGACUCUGAUGCCUGAUUGCCCAUCGAAUUUGGACUCAAUAUUUAUGAGAGGUUUAAUUAGUGAUUUGAUCACUAAUUAACUCAAUUUGAUUGAGUAAUUAUUUUUGGAUCAAGUCCAAUUGAAUUGGAUUCAGUU
RNAcentral lists this long non-coding RNA (299 nucleotides) under Elaeis guineensis (African oil palm). RNAcentral describes it as "long non-coding RNA (EGUI_LNC068734)". The record is from RNAcentral. Lineage: Eukaryota; Viridiplantae; Streptophyta; Magnoliopsida; Arecales; Arecaceae.